RNAcentral lists this ribosomal RNA (920 nucleotides) under uncultured bacterium. Its description in RNAcentral is "bacterial SSU rRNA". It matches the Rfam family "Bacterial small subunit ribosomal RNA", at positions 10 to 916 of the family's 1533-position model. The record is from RNAcentral.
AGUUUGAUCAUGGCUCAGGACGAACGCNGGNGNCNCGCUUANCACAUGCAANUCGAGCGAGAACCGGGGCUUCGNCCCCGGGGACAGCNGCGAACGGGUGAGUAACACGUGGGUAACCUGCCCUCGGCACCGGGAUAGCCCGGGGAAACUCGGAUUAAUACCGGAUUGCCCCUCCGGCCUUCGGGCCGGCCGGGAAAGGUAGCUUCGGCCUCCGGCCGAGGAUGGGCCCGCGGCGGAUUAGCUUGUUGGCGGGGUAACGGCCCACCAAGGCGACGAUCCGUAGCUGGUCUGAGAGGACGAUCAGCCACACUGGGACUGAGACACGGCCCAGACUCCUACGGGAGGCAGCAGUGGGGAAUCUUGCGCAAUGGGCGAAAGCCUGACGCAGCGACGCCGCGUGAGGGAAGAAGGCCUUCGGGUUGUAAACCUCUUUCAGGAGGGACGAAGCCACUCGGGUGAACAGCCCAGAGGGUGACGGUACCUCCAGAAGAAGCCCCGGCUAACUACGUGCCAGCAGCCGCGGUAAUACGUAGGGGGCAAGCGUUGUCCGGAUUUACUGGGCGUAAAGCGCGUGUAGGCGGCCAGGCAGGUCCGUUGUGAAAACUGGAAGCUCAACUUCCAGACGUCGACGGAAACCGCCCGGCUAGAGUCCGGAAGAGGAGAGUGGAAUUCCUGGUGUAGCGGUGAAAUGCGCAGAUAUCAGGAAGAACACCGAUGGCGAAGGCAGCUCUCUGGGACGGUACUGACGCUGAGACGCGAAAGCGUGGGGAGCGAACAGGAUUAGAUACCCUGGUAGUCCACGCCGUAAACGAUGGGUGCUAGGUGUGGGAGGUGUCGACUCCUUCCGUGCCGCAGCUAACGCAUUAAGCACCCCGCCUGGGGAGUACGGCCGCAAGGCUAAAACUCAAAGGAAUUGACGG